CUACAGGCUUAACACAUGCAAGUCGAGGGGUAGCAGGGUAGCAAUACCGCUGACGACCGGCGCACGGGUGAGUAACACGUAUCCAACCUUCCCAUAACUCGGGGAUAGCCUUUCGAAAGAAAGAUUAAUACCCGAUAGUACUUUUUUAGGGCAUCUUAAGAAAGCUAAAGAUUUAUUGGUUAUGGAUGGGGAUGCGUUCCAUUAGAUAGUUGGUGAGGUAACGGCUCACCAAGUCUUCGAUGGAUAGGGGUUCUGAGAGGAAGGUCCCCCACAUUGGUACUGAGACACGGACCAAACUCCUACGGGAGGCAGCAGUGAGGAAUAUUGGUCAAUGGGCGAGAGCCUGAACCAGCCAAGUAGCGUGAAGGAUGACGG
This 375-nucleotide ribosomal RNA is filed under the name uncultured Bacteroidales bacterium. Its description in RNAcentral is "bacterial SSU rRNA". It matches the Rfam family "Bacterial small subunit ribosomal RNA", at positions 40 to 414 of the family's 1533-position model. Lineage: Bacteria; Pseudomonadati; Bacteroidota; Bacteroidia; Bacteroidales. The record is from RNAcentral.